Molecule: ribosomal RNA, 490 nt
Filed under: uncultured bacterium
Lineage: Bacteria
Description: partial 16S ribosomal RNA
Rfam family: Bacterial small subunit ribosomal RNA
Source: RNAcentral
GAUGAACGCUCGCUACAGGCUUAACACAUGCAAGUCGCGGGGCAGCAUGGGGGUUGCUUGCAAUCCCCGAUGGCGACCGGCGCACGGGUGAGUAACGCGUAUCCAACCUGCCCUUCACCACGGGAUAACCCGGCGAAAGUCGGACUAAUACCGUAUGUUGUCCAUUUACGGCCUCCGAUUUGGACGAAAGGUUUGGCGGUGAAGGAUGGGGAUGCGUCCGAUUAGCUGGACGGCGGGGUGACGGCCCACCGUGGCGACGAUCGGUAGGGGUUCUGAGAGGAAGGUCCCCCACACUGGAACUGAGACACGGUCCAGACUCCUACGGGAGGCAGCAGUGAGGAAUAUGGGUCAAUGGGCGUAAGCCUGAACCAGCCAAGUAGCGUGCAGGAUGACGGCCCUAUGGGUGGUAAACUGCUUUUAUGCGGGGAUAAAGUGGCCCACGUGUGGGUUUUUGCAGGUACCGCAUGAAUAAGGACCGGCUAAUUCCGUG